Molecule: long non-coding RNA, 3078 nt
Organism: Cygnus olor (mute swan)
Lineage: Eukaryota; Metazoa; Chordata; Aves; Anseriformes; Anatidae
Exons: 3
Source: RefSeq, a predicted model, not a curated record
UCCGCCAGCUCCUGACAGCUUGAAUCAAAUGUCUGCCCAAACCUAGAUGGCCCAAGGAGCUGGCAUGGCUGAGGCACAGCUUGGAGCAGCUGGAGCGAUGUGUCUGUUGCACCGGAGCUGUCGGCCAUGCUGUUCCAGUUCAGGGGCUCCUGCAACAGAAAAGAUCAGCUGUUGGAGAACCCAUGGAAAGCCCUGGGGGAGAGCCAUGGCCGCAAGAGGAAUCUCACUUUGCCUUUUUCUCCCUGCUGCCUCUAGAGGACCAGGCGAUUCUAGGCACAGCUCUAGCAGAUGGUUUUGGUGAUGUAAAGCGCAAGGGGAUCGCUCCCAAGAGCUGCUGAGGCAGUUAAGUCAGAAAUGAACUGAUGCAUGCGGCAUGUCAUAUCCCCUGCUCGGCCGCCUUCGGACAGUUUCCUUGGCACAGGCAGCCUGCACCGCCCUGCACGUCCCCAUGCAGUGAUUUACCCAUGGAGAUUUCUCUGCAUCUGACCCAAAAUUAGCUGAAAUGGGUGAUCAGCCCUUUUAUAAGCACUCUGAGCUAUUCUGAGUCAGAGCAAGCAGCGUGUGCUGCUCAGGUGAUCGUGCAGUGAGUGAAAUCUAAACCAGCAAUGCCUUCACUUCUCUGGCACGGCACGAGCUGCAGCAGGGUGCUGGGAGUGCACCAGGCACGGGGCAGUGCCAACUGCACUUUGUUGCAGGUCAGGAGAAAUUUUCUGAAUGUUUUACAAGCUGUAAUGUAAAACCUUAACCUUUUGUCCACAGCAAAUAUUGCCAAAGUUGUUUGAGAAUGAGAGAAGCAAAUCUAUAUUUUGUCAAUAUUAGUCUGGAAAAUAAAAUAUGAGAACCAGAAGCAUUCAGUGCUGAGCAAAUGAAAACUAAUUUCUGUUACGUGAGAACUGACUCUUCCUCUCAGUGAGAUUUUCCUUACUUUAGUAAGAAAAUCUAGAUCUAUACUAGGAAAUCCAAACGUUUUUCAGCAGAACUACAGGUAAUUUAUAGACAAGCAGUUCUGAAGUGCAUGCAGCAUUGCAGGGCGCUGUGCUAAACUCCAUACAUCUCCUGCUGCCAAGCCUGGCUCUCCAUGCGGACGCUUCUCUCCAAGCAGCUGUGCACAAUGGACCCGCGCUGCCUCUCUGAUGAAACUCUCUCCCCUAAAUGGUUAAAGACAAGAAACCAGAAAUGAUCCAUAAAUUAGGUCUGGCUAUAGGUUCAAAAUCAUAAGUUAUGGCCUCUUGACCUCAUACUCUGAGGGGAAAUCAGAAGCAUUUUUCUGAAGAGCCACCACUGGAGGAAGGGAGGUUUAAUAUAUGGCACAGCAGAGCACUGAUGCAAAUAAAUACAACGCUGCAUAAUUGCAGGGAAAAUCAAUAAAUAGCAUGUUGGCUAAAAUGAAGAUAUACUUAUUGAGGUUUCGGGUUUAUAUGUGUGAAUGGCUUUUUCCCUAGAAAUGAAGAGAUUUUUUUCCCUGCGUAGAGGCUCUUUAAACACAACAAAGACAAUGGCUCCUCCACCAUCCCUUUUAAAACAAGCGAGUUUUAUCCACUGUCUUCCUCAGAGCAGCUAUCUUAAGAGUCGUGAUUAUUAGCAUAAUUAAUAACUCCAGUUUGCUCAUUUGAAAAAUUCCAGCGACAUUGCCGCUCAGACACCGUGUCAACGCAAGACACACGAAAUCGCUGUGACAACUGUUUUACAAGUUAAGGCUUUAUUGACGAACACCGCAAAGAGAUGAAGCCCAGAGCAAGUCCCUUUUCACUUUAAUAUUUAAACCUCUUUUAAGAGUCCGUCAAUAUUAACUCUCAUAAUUGAUGCCGACAGUUGACUGUCUGGCCAUAAAAAAGACAAGUGAUACAAUAAAAAACUAAUAAUAGCAGCCACCACACGCCGGCCACCGCAGCGAAGGGCACUGAGGUCUUGCACCCCCGAUGCAAUCGAAGCAGAGCUCAUGCUGUUGUGGGGGAGUGGAUUGGGGCCUUCAGGGUGCCACCAGGCUCUGCUGGUGGUUUUUCUCCUGACCUCCUGGGCCACGGCAAAGGGCUCACACUGCUCUCAAGAAACCUGUCCUUGCUCAGCCCGGAGACUGGCCGAUGCUUUUAAUAACCAAAUACCAUUUGUAGGUAGUUAACCUCAGGAUUUCCAGCAUUAAAGAUAUUUCCCACAGGAACCAGGGAGCACUGCAGGAAUGGAUAAAUGCAAAGUUCAUGGAAGUCGAUGGGAAACAGUAUACAGCCCUUUGCAAGUCCCGGCACAUGGGGAAAAUAUCCAGCAAGCGUUCUGAGCGCCAGGCAAUGGAAAUAUUUAUUUAUUGGGCAGAGCCGCCUGCUUUUCAUUAACCUUAUUCUGAGAAAUGAGUCUGUUGUUUCUGCUUAAACUUUGGGCUAGAAGUAGUAAAAAUGGUAAAAAACAUAAAAAUGAGUUCUAACGCAAAGCAUUAGAUAACCUGAAGUAUGGUUAUUGUCAGUGCUUGGUCUAUAGCACAGAGGGAGUUGUGCAGUAGCUCUCCAUCCCCGUUUUUUGACUUGAGGUAUAGAGUAGUUUUGCUGGCCUUGAUUUCUACUAGCAUGCAGGAUAUAGCAUAAAAUCAAACCCAAAAAUGUAUCGUUGUCAUUGAAGCCAACACAAUAGUUUGAAUUUUUACAUUUUUUAAACUUUCUGAAAUCUCCCUGGACAAACACACCACACUUCAGCUAAGCCAUUUUCGAUACCUCUGCUCUUACGUUCAGCCUUAAACAAAAAGCAGCAAAUCUCCUCCUUAGCACCACUCUCCCAGCAAACACACUCUUGCUCUGCCAGUGUUUAGCUGUGUGUCCCAGCCAAGGGUUUUCCUUUUGUUCCUGAUGCUUUUUCUCUGUGCUUUGGGGUUCUCAAGGCGUUUUUCACUCCUGACAGAGGAAGACAACAACAGAGGAACUGUGAUUAAAGAGACAAUGAGAAGUCCUAACCGCUUCCGUGUGGCAGAGAGCAGGUUACGGAUUUAGCACUAACAACAGAAAAUAGGAGAGCUUUGUAGCAAUUAAAGCUGGUCAAAACCCAGCAAAUGCUAGAGAAAAUAGGAGAAAAAAUCAUUGCGGUAUUACUAGUCUA